RNAcentral lists this ribosomal RNA (498 nucleotides) under uncultured bacterium. RNAcentral's name for it is "partial 16S ribosomal RNA". It matches the Rfam family "Bacterial small subunit ribosomal RNA", at positions 28 to 508 of the family's 1533-position model. The record is from RNAcentral.
GAUGAACGCUGGCGGCGUGCCUAAUACAUGCAAGUCGAGCGAACAGACGAGGAGCUUGCUCCUCUGACGUUAGCGGCGGACGGGUGAGUAACACGUGGAUAACCUACCUAUAAGACUGGGAUAACUUCGGGAAACCGGAGCUAAUACCGGAUAAUAUAUUGAACCGCAUGGUUCAAUAGUGAAAGACGGUUUUGCUGUCACUUAUAGAUGGAUCCGCGCCGCAUUAGCUAGUUGGUAAGGUAACGGCUUACCAAGGCAACGAUGCGUAGCCGACCUGAGAGGGUGAUCGGCCACACUGGAACGGAGACACGGUCCAGACUCCUACGGGAGGCAGCAGUAGGGAAGCUUCCGCAAUGGGCGAAAGCCUGACGGAGCAACGCCGCGUGAGUGAUGAAGGGCUUCGGAUCGUAAAACUCUGUUAUUAGGGAAGAACAAAUGUGUAAGUAACUAUGCACGUCUUGACGGUACCUAAUCAGAAAGCCACGGCUAACUACGUGC